UUCGAGCGUCAUUACGCCCCUCAAGUCAAACUUUUUGGUUAACUUGGUGUUGGGCCUUGCCGGAAAGCAUGCCUAAAAAUUAGCGAUGGUACGUUAAACCACGGACGCACAAAUGUCGUUACGUAGGGGCGCGUCACCAGUCUAAUGAUCAAUUUCUCAAUGUUGACCUCGGAUCAGGUAGGAAUACCCGCUGAACUUAA
Molecule: unclassified non-coding RNA, 200 nt
Filed under: soil metagenome
Description: partial contains internal transcribed spacer 2 and large subunit ribosomal RNA
Source: RNAcentral